Long non-coding RNA from Setaria italica (foxtail millet), 1515 nucleotides. RefSeq lists it as uncharacterized. Lineage: Eukaryota; Viridiplantae; Streptophyta; Magnoliopsida; Poales; Poaceae. The record is from RefSeq and is a predicted model, not a curated record. The transcript is spliced from 2 exons.
CUACUGCUUUUUCUCUAUCUGUCGUCGGGAACAGUCCCCAACCACCUCACCGUGUGGACCCAUCCAGAUGCCUUUCCGCGUGGAGACCUUAGCGGGAUCCAACGACGCCUCCUCGAGCGAGCAAUCCUCUCUUCCGCUUAAGGAGCUGCCCUGAUAAAAAUCAGAGAACAAUGGCCAUUGUGCCGAGAAAUGAGCAGCUCGGACACUAUGGUCGAGAUAGGUUCUUGCUUUGGUGAUUGUGAUCCUAUUCAAUAUGAAAUGCUUAUCUUAACAUCACUCAACAAACUGGCACCUGUUACUACUCUCUAUUAUCGGCUUUCAUUUUGAAUGUCACUGAAAUUGUCUUGGUUUGGGGUUGAUGGGUGUUUCUAUUUUCUGAUAACAUUCUGACCCCGCCACACAGUAAAGGCAGCAAAAGAGGAUGUAAAACCUGUCAUUUUUUUCAGAAUUUUAGAAUUUUUCUUCCUCACGUGAACCUGUGAUUCUUUUGUAAAACAAAUCAGAGAAACUUGUCAUUCUAGUUCACACGAAACCUGCCAUUCUUCUUCACAUGAAUAUGUCAAAACAUCCACAUGUAUUUCAUAUAAAAAGAUUACUAGUAUAUAAUAGUUAGUACAUUGUCAGGAAGAACAAUCAGCUCUAAAAUGGUACAAAAUGUGUCAUGAAUCCAGCUCCAAAGUAGAUUCAGUCAUUCAGUUUCUAAUGCAUAAUCAAACUCUGAAUAAUUGUUUGAUCAUAUUUGCAGUCAGUAAUGGGCAGAAUCUUCAGAGUAUCAAACAUUACCUCGGAAAAAAAUCAAAGAACCAAGUGUGAACCGAGAGAAACUCAAGUCUUAACUCAAGCUUCUCCAUCACCACCUUGAAUGGAUCAUUGAACCUCACGAACUCAAGGUGCAGCUUCUUCAGGCAGGGGAGUCAGGCAUCAUUGACACUGGUGAACAGAUGAGACGCAUUACGCAACGCCUUGUAAGCACUACAAUGAUUGACAGCCUGAGAGGCCGUGUUGGAACCAUGAGCAGCAUGUUGGCGGCACCUGUGCACACGGUGGAGGUGGCGCGGAGGACGAGGGGGCACCAGAGGACGAGUUGCGGCGGCAGACAUGGGAGUAUUGGACAGGGGGGACGCGUGCGGAGCUGUGACGGCGGUCGGCGGAUGAUGGGAGCCACCAGCGGACAGCUGCGGUGGUGGUUGAGGAGGACGGAGGCCACGUCGGCAGCGCCGCUGCGGGCUUCCAGUCCAGGACCACUCGUCGGCACGGCGGACGAUGCAAGCGGAGUCGAACUGGCGAAGCAUGCAAGCCGAGAUCGCUUGGAGUUGGAGCCAAGCCGACAACGCGAGCGCGUGCGAUAAGCUAGGAAACGGCACAUCAUCACGAUCUGUUAGAUGCACGGAAGUAACUUUGGGGACGGUCCCCACUGAAUUUUCUUCCUUGUCAUCAAGAGGGCGGAUGAGGAUGAAAAGUUUUGAUGAGCAGUUAAGCAAGACGUCAUUUUUUUAUUCCCAUUUGUUCUUUUUU